UUAGGGCUAAUACACGUUUGAGGUCUUUUGACCGCGUUUAUUAGUUUGAAACCCGCCUUGGCUUUCGGUGAUUCAUAAUAAACUGGCGAAUCGCAUUUAGCGAUGGACCAUUCAAGUUUCUGACCCAUCAGCUUGACGGUAGGGUAUUGGCCUACCGAGGCAGCAACGGGUAACGGGGAAUUAGGGUUCGAUUCCGGAGAGGGAGCCUGAGAGACGGCUACCACAUCUAAGGAAGGCAGCAGGCGUGCAAAUUACCCAAUCCUGACACAGGGAGGUAGUGACAAGAAAUAACAAUACAGGGCGAAUGUCUUGUAAUUGGAAUGAUGGUGACCCAAACCCUCACCAGAGUAGCAAUUGGAGGGCAAGUCUGGUGCCAGCAGCCGCGGUAAUUCCAGCUCCAAUAGCGUAUAUUAAACUUGUUGCAGUUAAAAAGCUCGUAGUUGUAUUUUUGCGUUAGCGGUUUGACCAUUUGGUUGGUUAUUUCGUUUUCGCUUUUGGGAAUUUCCCUUUUUACUUUGAGAAAAUUAGAGUGUUUCAAGCAGACUUUUGUCUUGAAUACUUCAACAUGGAAUAAUAGAGUAGGACUUUGGUUCUAUUUUGUUGGUUAUUGAACCUUAGUAAUGGUUAAUAGGAACGGUUGGGGGCAUUCGUAUUUAACUGUCAGAGGUGAAAUUCUUAGAUUUGUUAAAGACGAACUACUGCGAAAGCAUUUGCCAAGGACGUUUCCAUUAAUCAAGGACGAAAGUUAGGGGAUCGAAGACGAUCAGAUACC
This 772-nucleotide ribosomal RNA is filed under the name Babesia sp. RNAcentral describes it as "SSU rRNA". It matches the Rfam family "Eukaryotic small subunit ribosomal RNA", at positions 158 to 1016 of the family's 1831-position model. Lineage: Eukaryota; Apicomplexa; Aconoidasida; Piroplasmida; Babesiidae. The record is from RNAcentral.